This 29-nucleotide non-coding RNA is filed under the name Mus musculus (house mouse). Lineage: Eukaryota; Metazoa; Chordata; Mammalia; Rodentia; Muridae. The record is from RNAcentral.
UGGCAGACCCUUUAGACUCUCCUGGAGAU